Molecule: non-coding RNA, 219 nt
Filed under: Clostridium felsineum
Lineage: Bacteria; Bacillati; Bacillota; Clostridia; Eubacteriales; Clostridiaceae
Description: Clostridium roseum T-box sequence
Rfam family: T-box leader
About the family: Uncharged tRNA acts as the effector for transcription antitermination of genes in the T-box leader family. T-boxes are found upstream of many aminoacyl-tRNA synthetase genes and some amino acid biosynthetic genes usually in Gram-positive bacteria. The anticodon of a specific tRNA base pairs to a specifier sequence within the T-box motif, and the NCCA acceptor tail of the tRNA base pairs to a conserved bulge in the T-box antiterminator hairpin.
Source: RNAcentral
AUAGAAGCAUUGAAAGAGAGAGUAAAUAUAAUAGGAUUUUAAGAGAGAAAAGGUUAUUAGCUGAAAGCCUUUUUAAGUCUAGUUGUAUUGAAGUUCACUCUGGAGUUCCAUUUGUGAAAUGUAGCUUUGUACAAAUUAGCAAAUGGCGGUUAAAUAUCGUUAAAAUAUUGAGUGGGUUAUCCAAUUUGGGUGGUACCGCGGAGAUUAUCCGUCCCUUUU